RNAcentral lists this ribosomal RNA (497 nucleotides) under uncultured bacterium. RNAcentral's name for it is "partial 16S ribosomal RNA". It matches the Rfam family "Bacterial small subunit ribosomal RNA", at positions 28 to 507 of the family's 1533-position model. The record is from RNAcentral.
GAUGAACGCUGGCGGCGUGCCUAAUACAUGCAGGUCGAGCGAACGGACGAGAAGCUUGCUUCUCUGAUGUUAGCGGCGGACGGGUGAGUAACACGUGGAUAACCUACCUAUAAGACUGGGAUAACUUCGGGAAACCGGAGCUAAUACCGGAUAAUAUUUUGAACCGCAUGGUUCAAAAGUGAAAGACGGUCUUGCUGUCACUUAUAGAUGGAUCCGCGCUGCAUUAGCUAGUUGGUAAGGUAACGGCUUACCAAGGCAACGAUGCAUAGCCGACCUGAGAGGGUGAUCGGCCACACUGGAACUGAGACACGGUCCAGACUCCUACGGGAGGCAGCAGUAGGGAAUCUUCCGCAAUGGGCGAAAGCCUGACGGAGCAACGCCGCGUGAGUGAUGAAGGUCUUCGGAUCGUAAAACUCUGUUAUUAGGGAAGAACAUAUGUGUAAGUAACUGUGCACAUCUUGACGGUACCUAACCAGAAAGCCACGGCUAACUACGUG